This 2155-nucleotide ribosomal RNA is filed under the name Salmonella enterica subsp. enterica serovar Enteritidis. RNAcentral's name for it is "partial 23S ribosomal RNA". It matches the Rfam family "Bacterial large subunit ribosomal RNA", at positions 667 to 2803 of the family's 2925-position model. Lineage: Bacteria; Pseudomonadati; Pseudomonadota; Gammaproteobacteria; Enterobacterales; Enterobacteriaceae. The record is from RNAcentral.
CGGAGGGAAACCGAGUCUUAAUUGGGCGUUAAGUUGCAGGGUAUAGACCCGAAACCCGGUGAUCUAGCCAUGGGCAGGUUGAAGGUUGGGUAACACUAACUGGAGGACCGAACCGACUAAUGUUGAAAAAUUAGCGGAUGACCUGUGGCUGGGGGUGAAAGGCCAAUCAAACCGGGAGAUAGCUGGUUCUCCCCGAAAGCUAUUUAGGUAGCGCCUCGUGAAUUCAUCUCCGGGGGUAGAGCACUGUUUCGGCUAGGGGGCCAUCCCGGCUUACCAACCCGAUGCAAACUGCGAAUACCGGAGAAUGUUAUCACGGGAGACACACGGCGGGUGCUAACGUCCGUCGUGAAGAGGGAAACAACCCAGACCGCCAGCUAAGGUCCCAAAGUCAUGGUUAAGUGGGAAACGAUGUGGGAAGGCCCAGACAGCCAGGAUGUUGGCUUAGAAGCAGCCAUCAUUUAAAGAAAGCGUAAUAGCUCACUGGUCGAGUCGGCCUGCGCGGAAGAUGUAACGGGGCUAAACCAUGCACCGAAGCUGCGGCAGCGACACUGUGUGUUGUUGGGUAGGGGAGCGUUCUGUAAGCCUGUGAAGGUGUGUCGUGAGGCAUGCUGGAGGUAUCAGAAGUGCGAAUGCUGACAUAAGUAACGAUAAAGCGGGUGAAAAGCCCGCUCGCCGGAAGACCAAGGGUUCCUGUCCAACGUUAAUCGGGGCAGGGUGAGUCGACCCCUAAGGCGAGGCCGAAAGGCGUAGUCGAUGGGAAACGGGUUAAUAUUCCCGUACUUGGUGUUACUGCGAAGGGGGGACGGAGAAGGCUAUGUUGGCCGGGCGACGGUUGUCCCGGUUUAAGCGUGUAGGUGUGUGUUCCAGGUAAAUCCGGUUCACUUUAACACUGAGGCGUGACGACGAGGCACUACGGUGCUGAAGCAACAAAUGCCCUGCUUCCAGGAAAAGCCUCUAAGCAUCAGGUAACAUCAAAUCGUACCCCAAACCGACACAGGUGGUCAGGUAGAGAAUACCAAGGCGCUUGAGAGAACUCGGGUGAAGGAACUAGGCAAAAUGGUGCCGUAACUUCGGGAGAAGGCACGCUGACACGUAGGUGAAGUGAUUUACUCAUGGAGCUGAAGUCAGUCGAAGAUACCAGCUGGCUGCAACUGUUUAUUAAAAACACAGCACUGUGCAAACACGAAAGUGGACGUAUACGGUGUGACGCCUGCCCGGUGCCGGAAGGUUAAUUGAUGGGGUCAGCGCAAGCGAAGCUCCUGAUCGAAGCCCCGGUAAACGGCGGCCGUAACUAUAACGGUCCUAAGGUAGCGAAAUUCCUUGUCGGGUAAGUUCCGACCUGCACGAAUGGCGUAAUGAUGGCCAGGCUGUCUCCACCCGAGACUCAGUGAAAUUGAACUCGCUGUGAAGAUGCAGUGUACCCGCGGCAAGACGGAAAGACCCCGUGAACCUUUACUAUAGCUUGACACUGAACAUUGAGCCUUGAUGUGUAGGAUAGGUGGGAGGCUUUGAAGUGUGGACGCCAGUCUGCAUGGAGCCGACCUUGAAAUACCACCCUUUAAUGUUUGAUGUUCUAACGUGGACCCGUUACCCGGGUUGCGGACAGUGUCUGGUGGGUAGUUUGACUGGGGCGGUCUCCUCCUAAAGAGUAACGGAGGAGCACGAAGGUUGGCUAAUCCUGGUCGGACAUCAGGAGGUUAGUGCAAUGGCAUAAGCCAGCUUGACUGCGAGCGUGACGGCGCGAGCAGGUGCGAAAGCAGGUCAUAGUGAUCCGGUGGUUCUGAAUGGAAGGGCCAUCGCUCAACGGAUAAAAGGUACUCCGGGGAUAACAGGCUGAUACCGCCCAAGAGUUCAUAUCGACGGCGGUGUUUGGCACCUCGAUGUCGGCUCAUCACAUCCUGGGGCUGAAGUAGGUCCCAAGGGUAUGGCUGUUCGCCAUUUAAAGUGGUACGCGAGCUGGGUUUAGAACGUCGUGAGACAGUUCGGUCCCUAUCUGCCGUGGGCGCUGGAGAACUGAGGGGGGCUGCUCCUAGUACGAGAGGACCGGAGUGGACGCAUCACUGGUGUUCGGGUUGUCAUGCCAAUGGCACUGCCCGGUAGCUAAAUGCGGAAGAGAUAAGUGCUGAAAGCAUCUAAGCACGAAACUUGCCCCGAG